CUCCGUACGGGGGGCAGCAGUGGGGAAUCUUGCGCAAUGGACGAAAGUCUGACGCAGCAACGCCGCGUGAGGGACGAAGGCUUUCUGAGUUGUAAACCUCUUUCACCAGGAGCGAAAACAGACGGUACCUGGGGGAAGAAGCGCCGGCUAACUACGUGCCAGCAGCCGGUAAUAC
Molecule: ribosomal RNA, 175 nt
Filed under: uncultured bacterium
Lineage: Bacteria
Description: partial 16S ribosomal RNA
Rfam family: Bacterial small subunit ribosomal RNA
Source: RNAcentral